Molecule: ribosomal RNA, 1413 nt
Filed under: Klebsiella pneumoniae
Lineage: Bacteria; Pseudomonadati; Pseudomonadota; Gammaproteobacteria; Enterobacterales; Enterobacteriaceae
Description: 16S ribosomal RNA
Rfam family: Bacterial small subunit ribosomal RNA
Source: RNAcentral
ACACAUGCAGUCGAGCGGUAGCACAGAGAGCUUGCUCUCGGGUGACGAGCGGCGGACGGGUGAGUAAUGUCUGGGAAACUGCCUGAUGGAGGGGGAUAACUACUGGAAACGGUAGCUAAUACCGCAUAACGUCGCAAGACCAAAGUGGGGGACCUUCGGGCCUCAUGCCAUCAGAUGUGCCCAGAUGGGAUUAGCUAGUAGGUGGGGUAACGGCUCACCUAGGCGACGAUCCCUAGCUGGUCUGAGAGGAUGACCAGCCACACUGGAACUGAGACACGGUCCAGACUCCUACGGGAGGCAGCAGUGGGGAAUAUUGCACAAUGGGCGCAAGCCUGAUGCAGCCAUGCCGCGUGUGUGAAGAAGGCCUUCGGGUUGUAAAGCACUUUCAGCGGGGAGGAAGGCGAUAAGGUUAAUAACCUUGUCGAUUGACGUUACCCGCAGAAGAAGCACCGGCUAACUCCGUGCCAGCAGCCGCGGUAAUACGGAGGGUGCAAGCGUUAAUCGGAAUUACUGGGCGUAAAGCGCACGCAGGCGGUCUGUCAAGUCGGAUGUGAAAUCCCCGGGCUCAACCUGGGAACUGCAUUCGAAACUGGCAGGCUAGAGUCUUGUAGAGGGGGGUAGAAUUCCAGGUGUAGCGGUGAAAUGCGUAGAGAUCUGGAGGAAUACCGGUGGCGAAGGCGGCCCCCUGGACAAAGACUGACGCUCAGGUGCGAAAGCGUGGGGAGCAAACAGGAUUAGAUACCCUGGUAGUCCACGCCGUAAACGAUGUCGAUUUGGAGGUUGUGCCCUUGAGGCGUGGCUUCCGGAGCUAACGCGUUAAAUCGACCGCCUGGGGAGUACGGCCGCAAGGUUAAAACUCAAAUGAAUUGACGGGGGCCCGCACAAGCGGUGGAGCAUGUGGUUUAAUUCGAUGCAACGCGAAGAACCUUACCUGGUCUUGACAUCCACAGAACUUUCCAGAGAUGGAUUGGUGCCUUCGGGAACUGUGAGACAGGUGCUGCAUGGCUGUCGUCAGCUCGUGUUGUGAAAUGUUGGGUUAAGUCCCGCAACGAGCGCAACCCUUAUCCUUUGUUGCCAGCGGUUAGGCCGGGAACUCAAAGGAGACUGCCAGUGAUAAACUGGAGGAAGGUGGGGAUGACGUCAAGUCAUCAUGGCCCUUACGACCAGGGCUACACACGUGCUACAAUGGCAUAUACAAAGAGAAGCGACCUCGCGAGAGCAAGCGGACCUCAUAAAGUAUGUCGUAGUCCGGAUUGGAGUCUGCAACUCGACUCCAUGAAGUCGGAAUCGCUAGUAAUCGUAGAUCAGAAUGCUACGGUGAAUACGUUCCCGGGCCUUGUACACACCGCCCGUCACACCAUGGGAGUGGGUUGCAAAAGAAGUAGGUAGCUUAACCUUCGGGAGGGCGCUACC